GAGGCCAAACCUCAAAGAGUCAACUCUGCGUUUACUCCAAGACAUAAAUUGGUUCUAUAUAGUACGAUCCAAUUUAAUAACCCCUGUAGUAGUUGGAA
Molecule: small RNA, 98 nt
Filed under: Prochlorococcus marinus
Lineage: Bacteria; Bacillati; Cyanobacteriota; Cyanophyceae; Synechococcales; Prochlorococcaceae
Also listed under: 1 other name
Description: Cyanobacterial functional RNA 13
Rfam family: Cyanobacterial functional RNA 13
Source: RNAcentral